Brassica napus (rape) is the source of this 1539-nucleotide long non-coding RNA. RefSeq lists it as uncharacterized. The transcript is spliced from 5 exons. The record is from RefSeq and is a predicted model, not a curated record. Lineage: Eukaryota; Viridiplantae; Streptophyta; Magnoliopsida; Brassicales; Brassicaceae.
ACUUUAACUAAUUUGUCCACUUCAGACAAUAAUUUGUCCGCAUUACUUAAAAUAAUUAGUCAAUAAAAUUAUAUAUAUCAACAAACAUAUAUUCUUAUAACUUUGGUAAAAUAUCUCAAACAAAAUAAUUUGGACGGUUCUUAUUCCUUGGAGAUUGAUGUCUCCUCACAUCUACAAAAAUCAGCAGUUCCAUUUUCUAAUCGUGAUUCCCCAACUUCAAUUAUGAUUAUAAUGGCCGCUCCCUCAUAUUUAUUUGCCUCUCCCUCAUAUUUAUCAUCUCUUUAAAUCCUUCCUUCCACGAUCCUAAUGAUCGAUAGACUAAAAGUCUAAGACCCUUGCAAGAUUCUCUAAAAUCGAAUAAUGACAUUUAAAAGAUCUGCAGAUGUUGUCAUUCUCCAUCUUAAUUCUUAAAAGACUGCAAAAUUAUAGUACUAUUUUUCAGCAGCGGAAGUGUAAGUGACAAUCACUUCUAGGAAACCAUCUCUAUAUCUAUGGCAACUGGCUUCAGCUUAAAAAAUCUAUAAGGCACAAUAGAGCACAAACUGUGUGAUCUGGCAUGGAGAGUAGGACUUGAAGUUGUUGACCUUCCACCUGAUAUCCGAGAGAGCCCACCACACUCGAGAAGGAGUGCUUCAAGAACCAUUCAAUGGCUCUAAAUUCAUACAUGCCAAUAGUUUUCAAGCAUAAGUUUGGGUCAUGUAACUGGUACACUGAUGCGUACUCCUCCAGGAUACGCAGAUUCUUAGUGUUCAUUUUCUUCUUCUUAUUUUGAUUUAAGGGAACUGCAGUAAUCAUGAGGAAGAUGAUAGAGACAGCUUUUCCUUUAUUAGAGCUGGUGGCCGAAAAGCCUUUUAGCUAAGGUUGUGACAGGUGCUCAGAUUGGAGUUAUUGGUCUCAUAAUGGGAUGUGAGCAUAUAUUUCCCAUGAUUGGAAUCGCACACCUUCCUGCAUGGUCCUGUGAGGAAAAAUAGAUAUGGGCCCAGUUGGCUUCUCGGUAAGUUCCUGCAGUCAUUUCUAAAAAACUCAUGGGUCUCUGAAGCUAUCUGCAAUUGGGAAUCGGUGUUCUUUACAUUAAAAUAAGAAGGUUUUCCGGGGAGAUCGAGUUGAAAUACCUCAUCGGCAAAACCCUGAUGGAACCAUUGUCAAAUGCAUCGGCUGAGAAAUCUCUGGCUACAAGGUGUUGUGUCAGCUCCCUACCUUAAACAGAGAGUGUUGCAGCCACAUGAUGUACAAAUAGAAGGGUUUGUAUGAGAAACAAAAGAAAGACUAACUCUCAGACUCAUCUGUUGGUUUGAUUGAGGAGUGUAUGUGUUGUAUUUAUCGUUAUGAUGGCAUGGGGUAGCUAUCAAGUUACUUCGUAUAGAUCAUGUAGAGGUUUCUCAUAUUCGGGCUAUAAAGUUUCAUGUACAUGCAGUAAGAUUCGGGAGAGUACGUGAAAGCUAUCUAUGAUUGUUAUUUAGCACUGGUCAUACGUAAGUAAGAAAAUGUAUUGGACAUAUCCUAUUCCAAGAGUGAAACUUUUUAAAUUUUGACUACAAA